Molecule: long non-coding RNA, 1307 nt
Organism: Pygocentrus nattereri (red-bellied piranha)
Lineage: Eukaryota; Metazoa; Chordata; Actinopteri; Characiformes; Serrasalmidae
Source: Ensembl
UGCUUUUGAACGAGUAACAGAAGUCAUGGCGACGCUGCGCUUCAUUUUUCUGUUUAUUGUCUUCAGUAAAAGCCAUGGUGAGUGAUUUCCACAUUGUUGUUACCCUGUUUACAGUAUAUAUAUAAUAUUGUUCCAUCUGAUCAUUUUUAGUGUAACUUUGACUGCAGGUUGAACUCAGACCGUCAUUCUGUAGCAGUAGAUUCACGUUCAUCAAGUCUUUUUCUAUCUGUACAAUAUUUACACUUUUGCUAAGUGUUAGACAUCUUUAUCUUUUUAGUUUAUCAUUAAUAAAUUUAUGAUAAUAAACAAAACAACAGCCUGAAUUCACUGUUUUUUUUUUGGUCUCACAUUCAUUUCUUUUUUGUUUUUAAGGACAAACUCAGAUCAUUUAUAGAGCAACAAAUAAAGUAGAGUUGAGAUGUGAAACAACCAAAUGGCAAAUAAGCACAAAGUCUAACAACCGGAUUGACCUGACCUGCUCACAGUGUGACCACAUCAGCAUUGAGCUCUCAGAGGAUGAUGAGAAACUGGACUUCUGCACAAAUAAACACUCACAGUCAAAGCCUGGCUGCACUCUAGCAGUAAAGAGUGGCUUUGUUGCCUGUGUUAAAUCUCUGGAUCCUGGACUCUUAUAUCCAUUUAAACCGUCUCCCAACAUUGUCCAUUCAUUCAUAGUUGCUGAUCCAAACCCAAACAUAACAUCCACACCUGAGGAAACAUCUUCACUGACAGUACCUGAAGGUGGAUCAGUGAGUUUAAACUGUAGUUUCACCUUCACACAAGAAUAUAAUGGGGUGUCUUUUGUUGUUUACUGGAUUAAGACUGUUGGAGAGAGCAGCACCUGUGUGUAUUCUUAUGAUUAUUCCCCGUAUGAGCCGCUCGGGCUCGGUCACCACUGCACCAUACAGGAAGAUCUGCUUAACAGACUCUCAAACCAAACCGAACGACAGAACAGUCACAACAUCAGGAUCAGUGAAGUGAUGGAGUCAGACAGCGGUCAGUACCUCUGUGCUGUACAAGUGCACCCAAGUAAUAAAAACACUGCUGAAGGAAACUGGAAGGUGAUAGAAAGAGUUACAGUCAGUGUCCACAAAGACAAGAGACCACAGCCAACCAGGACCACCGUGACUCAGAAAACCACUGAGGAGACAACAAAGAAAACUAGUGAGAAAGUUAGUGGUAUUCACCCUCUCAUGCCUCUGUUUACUUCAUGGCCCAUAUGUUUGGGUCUUCUGCUUUCUGUUUGGAUCGCAUUCGCACUCAUAAGGAAAAAGGCCAGCACUGCACGAGGUGACCCUCCAGUAUGA